AUCUGGGCGGCGGAAUUCAGGAUGGCUGGCGGGCUUCGCGCUUGUCCGGUCGUUUGAUAUUUCCGUCGCCGUGUCGGACGUCGCGACCUGAUUCAUCGUCGGUCCCUGCUCGGAGGAAUNGCGAUCGAGUUCGUUGCGCGGUGCGUUUCGGCGUGCCGAGCGGCGAAGACGCGGCUCUCUGGCUGACGGCGGACAGUAAGCAACGGUGUCCGGCGUCGUGUCUCGCACUCGACGCCGGUGCCGGUCUGCGACGAUUUCUUCGGGCCUCUUUCCGACCCGUCUUGAAACACGGACCAAGGAGUCUAACAUGCGCGCGAGUCGCGGGGUUUCGAGCGUACCACGGUGCGCUCGUUACUUGCGAAACCCGUACGUUGAAGGCGUAAUGAAAGUGAACAGGGAAGAUGGCGUUCCGAGUCCACGUACCGUGAUCGUGUGUCGCGGCCGGACGUCCGCACUCCCGGGGCGUCUCAAUAGCUCGUCGCGGAUGCGGACGGUCGUCUCUCGGGGCGGCUGUCGGUCUGCGACGGACAGA
RNAcentral lists this ribosomal RNA (532 nucleotides) under Fiorinia externa. Its description in RNAcentral is "eukaryotic LSU rRNA". The record is from RNAcentral. Lineage: Eukaryota; Metazoa; Arthropoda; Insecta; Hemiptera; Diaspididae.